GUUAUGUGUUCAAACUUGUGUAAGCCAGGUUGGUUUCUAUCCUUAUUAGAGGAACCUGUUUCUUAAUUGAUAAUCCACGAUUAAUUUUACUUAUUUUAUUUUAAUUCAUAUAUCGCUGUCAUGAAUAUAUUUAAAAAUUAAUUUUCUUUAUUUAUUGUUAUAAUUUAUGUUAAGUCAAGAUGUGGUUUAUAAAUAAGUGUAUAAUGGGUUACAUUAAAUUUUAUUUAUGGAUUUUAAAUGAAAAUUAAAAUGAAAUUGAAUUUAAUAUAAAAUUUUUUUAUUUAAUUAAUAUGAAAAAAGAUCUAAAAUAUGUACAUAUUGCCCGUCAUUCUUAUUAAAAAUAAGACAAGUCGUAACAAAGUAAAUGUACUGGAAAGUGUAUUUAGAAAGAUAUUUUAUAUAAA
RNAcentral lists this ribosomal RNA (404 nucleotides) under Aulacorthum ligularicola. RNAcentral describes it as "partial 12S small subunit ribosomal RNA". The record is from RNAcentral. Lineage: Eukaryota; Metazoa; Arthropoda; Insecta; Hemiptera; Aphididae.